GCACUGCUGAGGAGUCCCAUACUAGGACGAAACGGCUGUCCAGUAC
This 46-nucleotide non-coding RNA is filed under the name Schistosoma margrebowiei. Lineage: Eukaryota; Metazoa; Platyhelminthes; Trematoda; Strigeidida; Schistosomatidae. The record is from RNAcentral.